RNAcentral lists this ribosomal RNA (253 nucleotides) under uncultured bacterium. RNAcentral's name for it is "partial 16S ribosomal RNA". It matches the Rfam family "Bacterial small subunit ribosomal RNA", at positions 524 to 776 of the family's 1533-position model. The record is from RNAcentral.
UACGUAGGGUGCGAGCGUUGUCCGGAAUUACUGGGCGUAAAGAGCUCGUAGGUGGUUUGUCGCGUUGUUCGUGAAAACCGGGGGCUUAACCCUCGGCGUGCGGGCGAUACGGGCAGACUUGAGUACUGCAGGGGAGACUGGAAUUCCUGGUGUAGCGGUGGAAUGCGCAGAUAUCAGGAGGAACACCGGUGGCGAAGGCGGGUCUCUGGGCAGUUCCUGACACUGAGGCACGAAGGCCAGGGGAGCAAACGGG